AGUACCAUUGUUCAUUCAUCUUUCUUUGUUUAACGCAAGGAAAAGGCAAUGGCUAAAGUUUUCUUUGUCACUUUUGUUCUAUUAGUUUUGGUCCUUUCUCCUGCAAUCGAGAUGUCUAAUGCCACUAGAGUGGGCCGCGAAUUGCUACAAAGCAUACCGAAUUGCCCAAGAUGCGUAUGUUGCGCUCCUGCUCCAUCACCAGAUAAAUGUUGCCCUUGUGCGUGCCCACCACAUGGGACUUGAAACAUGUUCCAUAUAAUUUGUAAAAGUGUGUGUUAUAAACAAAUAAUAGGUUAGCUAGCGAGCUAAUCUACUAAGCAUGUUCUUAAAGUUUCAAUAAUAACUUUGUGAAACAAAUAUAUACACAUAUAUUUGUAUUUUGUGUUUAUUCUCUUUGAAACCUAAAUAAAACAUAAUAUUUUCUUC
This is a long non-coding RNA of Impatiens glandulifera, 426 nucleotides long. RefSeq lists it as uncharacterized. The transcript has 2 exons. The record is from RefSeq and is a predicted model, not a curated record. Lineage: Eukaryota; Viridiplantae; Streptophyta; Magnoliopsida; Ericales; Balsaminaceae.